This is a long non-coding RNA of Zea mays, 182 nucleotides long. RefSeq lists it as uncharacterized. The transcript is spliced from 3 exons. NCBI's taxonomy places the organism in Eukaryota, Viridiplantae, Streptophyta, Magnoliopsida, Poales, Poaceae. The record is from RefSeq and is a predicted model, not a curated record.
AGGUUGAUCAGAGAAGCACACAAGAAAGGAGCAAAGAUUGUACUCGUUCAGGAAUUGUUUGAGGGGCACUAUUUCUGCCAAGCUCAAAGACUGGAUUUCUUUCGGCGCACUAAGCCUUACAAAGGCAAUCCAACUAUUAUAAGGAUGCAACAGCUUGCAAAGGAGCUGGAAGUUGACACUAG